CUUGACGGAGCCGAGCCACAGCGGUUCGCCGCCGGACCGUUCCUGCCCGUAGGUGGCCAGGAGGGCCUGCGCCUC
This 75-nucleotide antisense RNA is filed under the name Streptomyces sp. 3211.6. Its description in RNAcentral is "ASpks TB sRNA". It matches the Rfam family "ASpks TB sRNA". RNAcentral also lists the same sequence under 1 other name. The record is from RNAcentral. Lineage: Bacteria; Bacillati; Actinomycetota; Actinomycetes; Kitasatosporales; Streptomycetaceae.